AGCAGCCGCGGUAAUUCAGCUCCAAUAGCGUAUAUUAAAGUUGUUGCAGUUAAAAAGCUCGUAGUUGAAUUUCGGGGUUAGUAGGUUGGUCAUGCCUCUGGUAUGUACUGGUCUCACUGAUUCCUCCUUCCUGAUGAACCGUAAUGCCAUCAAUUUGGUGUGGCGGGGAAUUUGGACUGUUACUUUGAAAAAAUUAGAGUGUUUAAAGCAAGCUAACGCUUGAAUACAUUAGCAUGGAAUAAUGAAAUAGGACGUUCGAUCCUAUUUUGUUGGUUUCUAGGAUUGACGUAAUGAUUAAUAGGGAUAGUUGGGGGCAUUAGUAUUCAAUUGUCAGAGGUGAAAUUCUUGGAUUUAUUGAAGACUAACUACUGCGAAAGCAUUUGCCAAGGAUGUUUUCAUUAAUCAAGAACGAAAGUUAGGGGAUCGAAGACGAUCAGAUACCGUCGUAGUCUUAACCAUAAACUAUGCCGACUAGGGAUCGGAUGAUGUUAAUUUUUUAAUGACUCA
Molecule: ribosomal RNA, 507 nt
Filed under: Glomus sp. MO-G3
Lineage: Eukaryota; Fungi; Glomeromycota; Glomeromycetes; Glomerales; Glomeraceae
Description: SSU rRNA
Rfam family: Eukaryotic small subunit ribosomal RNA
Source: RNAcentral